CUCAUAUAUUUCAAUUCCUUUCAGGUACUCCGCUUGAUUUAGAAACUGCAACACCGUACAAAAGAGUAGUUAAGGACAACAAUAAUUGGUUAUCAUAAAUUACUUAACUAGGAUAAUUAGAAAAAUAAACAAAGGAGAAAAGUAAGCAAUAAGAUAAAUAACAUGAAGCUCUGGUGGUUGUUUUUUUCUUGGAGAUCAAUGUAAGAGUAUGAAUGUCUUGAAGAAAAUAAA
This is a long non-coding RNA of Telopea speciosissima, 231 nucleotides long. RefSeq lists it as uncharacterized. The record is from RefSeq and is a predicted model, not a curated record. The transcript has 2 exons. NCBI's taxonomy places the organism in Eukaryota, Viridiplantae, Streptophyta, Magnoliopsida, Proteales, Proteaceae.